AUGUGCUUGCUCAGGUGCUCGAGCACGCUGAUCCUCUUCAUCUUCUCUUCGUCGGGUGCCCGUGCCGGCCAAUGGCGCACUGUUACAUUUGGUGGUUGGGGCGCCUUGAUGGCAGGACACGUCGGCGUGGAUUUCUUCCUGGCUACUCUAUCCACGCGUCGCCAUUAUGCUCACGGACGCUUUUAUUGGGAGAUACCUUAUACCCGCAAGCUGCUCGUGUUCGACACGCGCACGGAGGAUUUCUCUUCUCUCAGCACUCCACGUGGCCAUUAUCAGAUGGUCUUUGUGGAGGCAAUGGAAGGAAGGCUUGGGAUGUUUAGCCGCAGCAUUGAAGAUGAUGGAAAACACCUCUUGUAUGACAUUUUGCAGGAUAAUGGGGAUGGCACGAACCAGUGGCGAAGGGAGGACGUAAUCUCGGUGCCAUAUAAAUAUCACUAUGACAUCAUCGGUGUUGCGGGGGGAUGCUUACUUCUACAUGGGAAUGUAGACAACCCGGAGUCUCCAGAAUUCCACUUCAGCUCUUAUUCACUGGAUCUGCAGACUAUGAAGCUUAAGUGGUUUCGUGGGACUCAGUCCUUGUACUUCUCCCCACACACCCAUCUGUAUGCGGGUUUCCCGCCAUCCUUGUCUCCACCAACUAUUUGA
RNAcentral lists this ribosomal RNA (645 nucleotides) under Triticum aestivum (bread wheat). RNAcentral describes it as "partial small subunit ribosomal RNA". The record is from RNAcentral. Lineage: Eukaryota; Viridiplantae; Streptophyta; Magnoliopsida; Poales; Poaceae.